Molecule: ribosomal RNA, 489 nt
Filed under: uncultured bacterium
Lineage: Bacteria
Description: bacterial SSU rRNA
Rfam family: Bacterial small subunit ribosomal RNA
Source: RNAcentral
GAUGAACGCUAGCGGCAGGCUUAACACAUGCAAGUCGAGGGGCAACACGGGUAGCAAUACCUGGUGGCGACCGGCGCAAGGGUGCGUAACGCGUGAGCAACAUGCCCUAUACAGGGGGAUAAUCCAGGGAAACUUGGUCUAAUAUCCCAUAGUAUUUAGAGGUGGCAUCACCACUAAAUUAAAGCUUCGGUGGUAUAGGAUUGGCUCGCGUGACAUUAGCUGGAUGGUGGGGUAACGGCUCACCAUGGCGAUGAUGUCUAGGGGUUCUGAGAGGAAGACCCCCCACACUGGGACUGAGACACGGCCCAGACUCCUACGGGAGGCAGCAGUGAGGAAUAUUGGACAAUGGAUGGAAAAUCUGAUCCAGCCAUGCCGCGUGCAGGAAGACGGCCCUAGUGGGUUAGUAAACUGUCUUUUAUAUGGGAGCAAAUAAGGUUUACGCGUAGACCGAUGAGAGUACCAUAUGAAUAAGCAUCGGCUAACUCCGUG